UGAUUGNGACCUUGAUACAUGACCAGGGA
Molecule: non-coding RNA, 29 nt
Filed under: Rattus norvegicus (Norway rat)
Lineage: Eukaryota; Metazoa; Chordata; Mammalia; Rodentia; Muridae
Source: RNAcentral